RNAcentral lists this ribosomal RNA (468 nucleotides) under uncultured bacterium. Its description in RNAcentral is "partial 16S ribosomal RNA". It matches the Rfam family "Bacterial small subunit ribosomal RNA", at positions 28 to 507 of the family's 1533-position model. The record is from RNAcentral.
GACGAACGCUGGCGGCGUGCUUAACACAUGCAAGUCGAACGGAAAGGCCCUGCUUUUGUGGGGUGCUCGAGUGGCGACCGGGUGAGUAACACGUGAGUAACCUGCCCUUGACUUUGGGAUAACUUCAGGAAACUGGGGCUAAUACCGGAUAGGAGCUCCUGCUGCAUGGUGGGGGUUGGAAAGUUUCGGCGGUUGGGGAUGGACUCGCGGCCUAUCAGCUUGUUGGUGGGGUAGUGGCUUACCAAGGCUUUGACGGGUAGCCGGGCUGGGAGGGUGACCGGCCCCAUUGGGACUGGGAUACGGCCCAGACUCCUACGGGAGGCAGAAGUGGAGAAUAUUGCACAAUGGGCGGAAGCCUGAUGCAGCAACGCCGCGUGCGGGAUGACGGCCUUCGGGUUGUAAACCGCUUUCGCCUGUGACGAAGCGUGAGUGACGGUAAUGGGUAAAGAAGCACCGGCUAACUACGUG